GAAAGACGUGAUAUCACAGCUAACAGCAUAAGCACCCCACAGAAAUGAACAUCUUUGGAGAGACGUGUGGUGUGCAGUAACUCACACAAACUACAAUGUGCUGCACUCACGAGAGGACCACAGUUUACUUGACCUGUCAAACAUGUUAAAUAACUUCUGUUGUCACUAUUUAUUUCUCCCAGGACUACAUUUAAAUUUUGACACCAUCAGCAGUGGCUGGGAUAACCAUUCACUCAGAACUGAGGGGAAUCUAACACUCAGUAAUGGGAAAUGGGAAAAAUCCAGCAUUCUGUCAUAGAACCAGAAAUCACAGAGGGACUCUGCCUGCCUCAUAUUGACUGGGACGACAGUGGACUCCUUGAUGACCCACACUAUGGGGUCACUAUUCCUGAAACUGGCAAUGUGUUGAGCCCCGAACAACUGGUAGCACUGAGGGCAGCCAUGGAUGCGUUGGGACAUUCUGAAUCAUAUGGCUCAGAUAUAUAUGUUGUUACUGUCCAGUAUGACCAACACUUUACGAGUUUAAUCUUAUUGUGGUUACCAUUGUUGCAAAAGGUUUUCAAGUAGUAAAAUCCCGCCAGGAAAAUGUAACUAAGUUAGUGUGUUUACUGAAUAAAAAUGUAGAAUUGCUGGGAUUGUGAUAGUAAAUGUGUAUGGUACUGUAUAAACCUUUUGAAAAUGCUGAGGUUAUUGGAAAAAAGGGGCACAUGGGGCUGUUACUAAAACUGAGGAUGCAAACAUUGUGGGAAAAUUAAACAGUCCUUUAUUUUCCACAUUGCAUAAUAAACAUACCCUUUGAUAAAGUCUUUAUUUCCAAUGUUUAGCAAUAUCAAUCAAAGUCUAUACACCUUUUACACAUGGAUUGCUUUUAUUGUUGAAAUUAAGACUGAAAGAACUCCAUUAAUUCUCCAGGUUUUUCCCCACUAAA
Long non-coding RNA from Fundulus heteroclitus (mummichog), 928 nucleotides. RefSeq lists it as uncharacterized. Lineage: Eukaryota; Metazoa; Chordata; Actinopteri; Cyprinodontiformes; Fundulidae. The record is from RefSeq and is a predicted model, not a curated record. The transcript is spliced from 3 exons.